GGUGGAAACUUGGCAAGUCGUUUACUCUCUCCAGGCUCCAAGUUCCUUGGGAGCUGGACUAUAUUUAGGAUCAAGAAUCUAGCACCGCAAAGCACACCCAGUCCAAGGAGAAGGAAAAGCUGUCGCCUACCGUCAAACUUCUUGUGCCUGGACACGAACGUG
This is a long non-coding RNA of Cervus elaphus (red deer), 162 nucleotides long. RefSeq lists it as uncharacterized. The transcript is spliced from 2 exons. The record is from RefSeq and is a predicted model, not a curated record. NCBI's taxonomy places the organism in Eukaryota, Metazoa, Chordata, Mammalia, Artiodactyla, Cervidae.